This is a long non-coding RNA of Paramisgurnus dabryanus, 578 nucleotides long. RefSeq lists it as uncharacterized. Lineage: Eukaryota; Metazoa; Chordata; Actinopteri; Cypriniformes; Cobitidae. The record is from RefSeq and is a predicted model, not a curated record.
ACCGACUACGAACAAACCAUGUUUAGCCCAAAAUAACCUUGAAUUUAAUAAAAUUUUGUUUUUGCCAAAAUAACUUGCAAGAUUUAUGAUAUUUCAUCAGGCAUGCAAAGACACCAGUGAAAUUAAGAUGUUUGGUUUUAUUUAUCUUAUCUGAAUAUCUGCUGUCACGCAUAACAUUCAUUAUUUGACCGUAUUUCAAAGAUAAACAAAAUCCAGUUACAACUCCGAACCGCUAGAUGGCAGCAGUACACAAACACGGGGCCAAAUCUCACGAGAAAGAUUUCCGCUGUUUGAAAAGCAACAACAUCAGCGAGCAGCCAGGAGGAAAGCAAUCUACCACACUCGUUUGGUCUUGUGUCAAAGCUGUGCGAAACUGGAGGGAGAAACUUGAGAGACCGUGCCGGAAGAAUGCUGGACAGAGUUCACUAAAAUUCAUUAAUUUCAAAGUUCAACAUGAAUGGUGGUGGUCCACUGCAGAAGCAAGCAUUUGAAAAAACAUCACUUCUCAGUUAUUAAAGAUGCUGUGUUGAACAACUUCCCAGCAGCAACAGAACUGGAAGUGAAGGAUGCAAUGGGGG